AAAUACAAGAAAAACUUGGUAGUAGCAAUGAUUUUCCUGAUGGCCUUCACGAAGAUGAUUGCAUGAGCCUGAGGCUCUUGAAGCUGACAUGGGAAACGAGUCCAAAGUGGAUGGAGUGCCUUUUUCUCUCCAACGCGAUAAUCAAACUGAUUACGAUGAGGACCUUAUCUUCCCCCAGAACCAAUAGGGCAGACUGGAGCUCAACUUGCUCGAGUUCAUGUUAAAGCUGAGGAUGAGCUUGGAUUACCGGCAGUACCAAGCUACUCACUGGGGAAUAGAUCUUACGCUCUCUUUGUGGGGUAGAGCUGCUAAGAUCUUUUUUUUUUUUUU
Molecule: long non-coding RNA, 330 nt
Organism: Brassica oleracea var. oleracea
Lineage: Eukaryota; Viridiplantae; Streptophyta; Magnoliopsida; Brassicales; Brassicaceae
Exons: 3
Source: RefSeq, a predicted model, not a curated record